This 288-nucleotide ribosomal RNA is filed under the name Triticum aestivum (bread wheat). RNAcentral's name for it is "partial small subunit ribosomal RNA". Lineage: Eukaryota; Viridiplantae; Streptophyta; Magnoliopsida; Poales; Poaceae. The record is from RNAcentral.
GCGGGGCGCAGAGUCCUUGUCAGGUGCGUCCUCUCAGCCAUGUCGAUGUUCGCCCUCUCAGUGUUGCGUGUGCCAAAGAAAUUCUUCAAAGGGAUGGACAAGGUCAGGCGACGCUUCCUGUCGGCGCACGACCAGGAGAUCAACGGUGGAAAGUGCAAGGUAGCAUGGAGGGCGGUGACCACGCUGGAGGCCAAAGGAGGUUUGGGCAUCCAUGAUCUUUCGGCCUUCAUCAGGGCUUUGCGACUACGCUGGCUUUGGCUGUGCUGGGCAGACCCAUCCAGGCCCUGG